AAAUUGGAGAAGAAAGAGGUUUUGAAUGUAUCCAAGAAUUUAGACAUAAAAAAGGCCAGAGGCUUGGUGGCGAAUAUUUGGGUUAGUAACAUUUUUACAAUCGGCAUGCACCAACAUUUAAAGCAAUAGUGGUAAAAAGGAAAUAGCUUUCAACUGUUUCUAAGGCCACCUACCACAGGAGGCGCUGUUCACAAACGGGCUAACCGGUUUUAAUCAGCCUCGGCUGCUCAUUUCGUUCUUCCGGUGCCCCCACAGCCCCGCUCCCUCCCGAUGCUAGCACCGUCGGGCUUGGCUGUGGGAGCGUAAUGGCGGUGCACCGGGGACCCUCUACGAAAUGGCUCUUCACCCGGGAGCAGCUCGAGAACACGCCGUCUCGACGCGGCGGAAUAGAGGCCGACAGGGAGCUCUCUUACCGGCAGCAGGCGGCCAACUUAAUCCAAGACAUAGGCCAGAGACUCAACGUUUCUCAACUGAUAAUCAACACUGCUAUAGUAUAUAUGCACAGGUUUUAUAUGAUCCACUCCUUCAGCAAAUUCCAUAGAAACGUCAUUUCUCAGACUACGUUGUUCCUGGCAGCUAAAGUUGAGGAGCAGCCCAGAAAGUUGGAGCAUGUCAUUAAAAUAGCCCACGCCUGCAUUAACCAACAAGAGCCAGCCCUAGACACUAAGAGCAACGCAUUCCAGCAGCAGACACAAGAGCUCGUAGCACUGGAAACGAUAGUGCUGCAAACGCUGGGUUUUGAAAUAACAAUCGAUCAUCCACACACAGAUGUUGUGAGGUGUUCCCAGCUAGUGCGAGCAAGCAAGGAUUUGGCACAGACUUCCUAUUUCAUGGCUACCAACAGGUUAUUAUCCUGUUCCCAUUAUUGCACUGUAAUGGCACACUAUAGCUUCCUGUCCUGCAGGGCCCCCCUUCCUGUGUCCAACGCCCUGUUUGCGCCUGGGUCCCCGGGAACCCCCAGUUCGGGGAAGUACUGGCCAGGCUGCUGUGUGCGGUGUAUUGUACAAGGGCUGUGUGUUGGCACAUAGGGGUUGAAUGCACAAUGUGGAGUGUAGUGGUGCUGUUUACCUCUCACGGUUGUUUGGUACGGAGUGCAUAUGUCUAAAGAAAGAACUCAAAUGGUAGCCUGAAUAUAGAUUGCCACUAAAGAUUCUUAAACUUAUAGAGUGCUUUGGUAAGUAUAGUUUACAGUUUUUCAAUUUUGUUUGCACAUUUUUCACCCUAAAAGAGUUAAUAAUGAAAACGCCAAACUACACUGCAAACUGAAUGCUUGUUCUGUGUGGUAAUGCAGUUUUUAUUUUUUUUUAAAUCGAACAGUUUAAUGCAUUUGUACAGAGGCUGAUAGUUUGAUAUGCAAGUCUGAGAGAUUGAUGUUCCCAGCAGAUGAUGGUAGAUAGGAUCUCUUAAUUUGGGGUUAUGCACAAAGAAUCCAGGUGGAAGUGUAGUGAAUAAUAUCAGUGGUGUAUCUCCGAGACUGGGUGACAUUACAGAAGUGGCCAAAAUGUCUCUGUUUGGGGAUAUGUCGCACAAAGGACUUAAACUACUAUUUUUUUACCUUAACGCCACCUACUUUUUCUUUUUACAAUACUUUGAAAUGCAACUCACAUGAAAACUAAAUCAUGCUUUGCGUCUUAAGAGAGUUGCAAAACAGAGGCCUUGUACUUUUGCUCAGCAGGAGACAUCGUACUUGUACGGCGGUGUGCUUCUGAGUUCGCUUGGUAAAUACAAGCUUUAAUCCACAGGAGCCAGUUUGCGGUGUAGUUUGGGAUCCAGGGUGCAGAGAAAGUUAACUGUAGAAAACAUAAAGCCUUCUGCUCAUUUGUCUUUAAGUUCCCUCGUUUGAUGUUGUGAAGUUUCCAAGUUAAAAAACACUGUCACUACUCAUUUUACACUCAUAGCUAGUAUAUCUUAUUUUAUUUGUUUGUUGGUUGUAAUUUCUUGCUCCAUUGAGAAACAUUUUUUUAAAGUUCUUCAUUUUUUUUAAAUCCAAAUGUGGCCAAAUCAGUUUCAAUAUAUCACAUAAAAGUGUGUGUGUGUGUGCGUGAGUCAUUCAUACGCUUAGAAGAUAUCCUAACAAAUGGGGUUUCUUAGCUGUCACUGUGCUAUGAGGUAAGGCUGUGUGUAUGUGAUGUGAACAUAAUAUUAGUCUGGUUGUCAGUGAACCUCGCCUCGUUUAAUGGUCUAAAAUGAUUACACGUGUGUGUGUUGUUGUGUAAAAAGCCUCCAGCUGACGGUCGUAUCUUUCUCCUCUGCUUCUUGUCGUCGUCGUCGUCCCCCUCCUCCCCUUGCAGUUUGCAUCUCACCACCUUCUGCCUGCAGUACAGGCCCACGGUCGUCGCGUGCGUCUGCAUCCACCUGGCCUGCAAGUGGUCCAACUGGGAGAUCCCCGUGUCUACGGACAGUAAACACUGGUGGGAGUACGUGGACCGCACCGUGACGUUGCAGCUGCUGGACGAGCUUACACACGAGUUUCUCCAGAUCCUGGAGAAGACGCCCAGCAAACUGAAGAGGAUACGAAACUGGAGGGCUAUUCAAGCAGCUAAGAAGCCAAAGACGGAGGGCGCAACAGUGGAUAGUGCCUUCCAGGGGGGGUCCUUGGACGGCCUCCCCGGUGUCACCAACUCUUUCUUCCCCUCCACCUCAUCGGACUCCUCGGACAUGCCCUCCCUCAACAACAUUGCAGCCUCCUACGCAUCCUACCAGCCGCUGAGCGACCAGUCCAAGAGCUGCGGCUACGACCACUUCUCCGAGCCGCACCUCUCAGACUUCGCGCUGGUGAAACACGAACCCAAAGCAGCGGGCGGUACUUCCGCCACCGCCGGCAGCAAAAACCAGCAGCUCGCCGCAAACGCAGCCGCCGCCUUUUCGCGGCCGCAGAAGGUCUUGACUCUAGAAAAGUACAGGGAGAAACACGCGGCGGCGGGGGACCCGGCCUCGCAGAACGGCACGAAGGACGAGCCGGGCGCGGAUAUGUACGCGGCCCCUCCGGUCAUCUCCUCGCACCACCACAAGAAGCGCUCCCAGGCGCAGCAGGGGGGGCACACCGGCGACAGCCGAAGAGACAAAAGCAGCUCCAAAAAGGCGCGGCUGCCGGCGUCUUUUGCCGAGAACGGCGCCGCCACGGGCGAGGAGCUCAAGAUGAGAAUCAAAGUUUCGUCGGAGCGCCACGGGAGCUUGGAGCAGGGCGGGACUCUGUCCGGCAAAGACAAGCACAAAGAGCACCGCCACUCCAAACACGGCCACUCGCACCCGUACUCCCUCAGCGGUAACAGCAGAGGGACAAUAGAGAACGCCUCCUUGUCUAUAAAAGCGCCCGACGCGGGCUCGUCCAGCUCGUCUCGCAAGAGGCCCCACUCGGACGGCGGCAACCACAAUCACAACAACCACCACCACCACUCGUCCAAGAGCAGCCGGAGCAAAGGAGGCCUCGGCUCGUCCCACUACUCGACCGAGAGCGGCCAGAGGGUGAUGGAGCACGACGGGAGCAACGGCGUGCUGCCCCCCAACGGCCAACACACCGACUACAAAGACACUUUCGACAUGCUGGACUCUUUACUAAGUGCCCAAGGAAUGAACUUGUAACCCUCGGAGAGUCCGCAGUGUUAUCUAGAAUAAGGUAUUUCCAUGUUUAAAAGAAUUUUAAAAGAAAUUUUAUUUGUCUUAAGUUAUCGCAAUUCUGCACCGCCCUCAGUUGUGUCCACACACUGAUUAUUGACGAGUCUCGUGAAGUUGUCAAAAAAAAUGUCACUUGAUAUGCAUAGAGCCGUGUGCUACUAAGCGUGCAACAACGAAAAUAAGUUUUAAAGACGCGUCUGGAAUAAUGAGAUUUUAAACCUUCUUUUACCUGACAUUAUGAUUUUAAUGUGCAUGUUUGAAGUCACACAAAAGGGAAGGCAAAGCUAGUAUUCGCAGCCGUCGUGACCGUUUACAGACAGUUGUGUGUGUUUUUUUUGUUGUAUGUUGAGACAUUUUGUUCCACUGAAAAUCUCAGGUCUUGAACUUUUUUGAUAUAAGAACGAAUCUUCCUCUGUUUGGGUUUCAUCGCCUGUAUCCGUGGAGAUGCAUCACGUCGUCCGUUUGCUGACGACGGCAGAACUCCGUCGUCCGUCUUAGGAAACACGGUCUGCUUACCUUUCAAUAAUUUAAAAAAAACAAUACAAAUGUGAGGCAGAACCCAUUUGCUGUCCAAGGCCGCGCCUAAACUUAAUGUGCAGACUCUUUCUGGAGCUACAAAUGAAGUUUACGUUACAUCUGCUGUGAAAGAUAUAUCGGCUACAAUUGCGAAACGGCCCUGUGAUUGUACCUCGCCGAUCGCUAUACAGUAUGAUACAUGUUAUUAACUAUCAGAAAAUACAGAUCUCUAAAGUAAGAUUGUGUGUAUAUAGGACUGUAGUUGAGAUUUCAACCUGUUGGUUUGUUGACUUUCUCCAUUCAGUGUAUCCUGAGGUCUCUGUAUUGAUGAACAUGUCCUCAAUUUGUGUAUUGGGAGCCUAAAUAAAGGUGUAAAGGUC
Molecule: RNA transcript, 4511 nt
Organism: Cyclopterus lumpus (lumpfish)
Lineage: Eukaryota; Metazoa; Chordata; Actinopteri; Perciformes; Cyclopteridae
Gene: ccnt2b
Gene name: cyclin T2b
Exons: 8
Source: RefSeq, a predicted model, not a curated record